GGGAAGUUUGCUCAGUGGUAGAGCACUUGCCUUGCAUGCAUGAGGCUAUGGGUUUGAUUCCUUAGCACCACA
Dipodomys ordii (Ord's kangaroo rat) is the source of this 72-nucleotide non-coding RNA. NCBI's taxonomy places the organism in Eukaryota, Metazoa, Chordata, Mammalia, Rodentia, Heteromyidae. The record is from Rfam.